AUGUCCCUUAAACUGUUCAAAACCGCAGAUUCACUGCACCUUACAAAAUCGAAAUCCAAAUUGAAAUUGAAAUCACAAUAUGAUGAAUUAGAAACUAUGAUUAAUGAUUAUGAAGAAAUAAAAUGGAUAAGACUUACGUUGUCGAGAGCAACAACGUUGAGGAAAGUUCAAGGUCUUCAAGAACGGGUUGUUUCGUCGAUAAAUUUGUCAGCAAGCAUCGCCGACGCUUGA
Non-coding RNA from Vicia faba (fava bean), 231 nucleotides. The record is from the annotation of a GenBank genome assembly. NCBI's taxonomy places the organism in Eukaryota, Viridiplantae, Streptophyta, Magnoliopsida, Fabales, Fabaceae.